UCAGCUCUUCAUCACACAAGGGCAAUUCAAGUUUGUCAUUUGUUCCAUAUAUAGAAAGUGAACUUGUAGAGAGAGAAAAUGGCCUUGUUUGUUUCUCUCUCCCUAACCCUCAUUCCAACCCAUUUCACAAGCAAGGGUAUUAAUUACUAUUAGCUUAGUAAUUAGAAGCAGUGAUAUACACAUCAGAUUUCAUUAAUUUUAUGAAAAUUAUAUUAAUAUUAAGGGUAAGGGAGGUGACAGAAGAGAGUGAGCACACAUAGUACUUUCUUGAAUGAUAUAAAGUUUCAUGCUUGAAGUUAUGCGUGCUUACUCUCUAUCUGUCACCCCAUCACCAUCUCUUUCUUUUUAUUCUUUCAUUUUUCACUUUCUGAUAUUUGAUAUAUAUAUAUAUAUAGUUUCUUCCUUUCUCACUUUCCCUUUAUAAGUAACCCUAGCCAGCAACUUGGACUCUUUCCGUCAUAUCAUUCAAUAGUAUGUAUGUUAUAUGCGCAUCACAUCCCUUAUCACAGGUUGUAAAAAGUCUUGUUGAUAACGUCAAUUGAAUCCUCCAGCAAAAGUUUCAAUGGUGUGAAACUAAGACAAUCAUAUAUAUGUAUUUUCUAUAUAUUUAUGGUUGAAAAAAGAAAGAGCUGAUGAGGAAAGGGAGCUGUACGUUGUGGUGGAUUUAUCUUGUUAUAUGCUUUAAUGAUGAAUGUAUAUUUAAUUUUAGCAGAAACAAGUGAUGAUAUAUAUAUCAUCUAUACACAAUCAUGUAAUACUUUGAUCAAUACAUAUGUACCAGUACAUGUUAAAAAGGCAUAAAUUAUGCUAAUUAAUUGUGAAGGGCUUGCUUCUAUUGAGGGUGAAAUUGAGCAAAGGUUUUAAAAGAGAGAAAAAAGAAAUUUCUAUA
Long non-coding RNA from Glycine soja, 889 nucleotides. RefSeq lists it as uncharacterized. The record is from RefSeq and is a predicted model, not a curated record. NCBI's taxonomy places the organism in Eukaryota, Viridiplantae, Streptophyta, Magnoliopsida, Fabales, Fabaceae. The transcript is spliced from 2 exons.